RNAcentral lists this transfer RNA (71 nucleotides) under bacterium. RNAcentral describes it as "tRNA-Lys". It matches the Rfam family "tRNA". Rfam says of the family: Transfer RNA (tRNA) molecules are approximately 80 nucleotides in length. Their secondary structure includes four short double-helical elements and three loops (D, anti-codon, and T loops). The record is from RNAcentral. RNAcentral also lists the same sequence under 3 other names.
CCCCCCGUAGCUCAGUGGUAGAGCAGCUCCCUUUUAAGGAGUUGAUGUUGGUUCGAUUCCAACCGGGGGGA